RNAcentral lists this long non-coding RNA (831 nucleotides) under Brassica napus (rape). RNAcentral describes it as "long non-coding RNA (BNAP_LNC009666)". Lineage: Eukaryota; Viridiplantae; Streptophyta; Magnoliopsida; Brassicales; Brassicaceae. The record is from RNAcentral.
GGCCAGCCAUCAAUCAAACAAGAACAUGACUGACCGUCCAACCCAGCACCCAUGGUCCGGAAGCGCUACGUGAUGGGUUAGGGACGAUCCGGUCAUACACACAAAAUUUACUCCACGACCUAGACCAGUUCAUCCACUAACUCGUCCCGCUGCGUCAAGGCAAAAGGCUUUGCAACCCGUACCUAGAGUUAGCGUUUUCCGUUAGAUCGAAAUCUAAGGCUUUUCAACCUGUACUACGACCAAACGUUGUGUUACACCGGACUAGUCAAAUAUCAGAGUACUCAAGACGCGCAUAUAAAACAAUUUCUUUAUUGAUUCGAGAAAUAUCCAUACAUUGAUAUAAUUCGAGACCGGUCCCGGCCUAAUGCCAAAUCGAGUCAACUAAACACAAAUCCACAAUACCGUUAACAAAAGACAUGAAAAUCUACACCGGCGGUCCUAACGUCUGGCACCCAACUAUCUGAUCAUCCUUACCUAAAGCGACCUGCAAAAAGGACAACAGAGUUGGAUGAGUAACCUAAUGUGACUCAGUGAAUUAUGAUCCCCAACUAAUAAAUACAACCCCUCGCUAUCCCACCCCAAACAAUCUAAAGUGAGAGGUUCACCUAACAACAAAUCAGUCCAAUUCAAUAGAUAAGCAAUAUCAGAAAUAUGCAGCAGAUAAUAAUAGCAAGAUAAUUAACAAUAUGAAAUCAUAACCGCUAAUGACUUGCUAACCACUUAAACUCAAACUCAAACCAAUCUAGGGUUCAACAACCCUCUACACCCUCUACACUAUAACUAGGGCCCUAUGUGACUUAGUGUUCCUCCUCUAUCCUCGGCAAUAUCCUA